Molecule: ribosomal RNA, 879 nt
Filed under: Enterococcus faecium
Lineage: Bacteria; Bacillati; Bacillota; Bacilli; Lactobacillales; Enterococcaceae
Description: bacterial SSU rRNA
Rfam family: Bacterial small subunit ribosomal RNA
Source: RNAcentral
AAAGAGGAGUGGCGAACGGGUGAGUAACACGUGAGGUAACCUGCCCAUCAGAAGGGGAUAACACUUGGAAACAGGUGCUAAUACCGUAUAACAAUCGAAACCGCAUGGUUUUGAUUUGAAAGGCGCUUUCGGGUGUCGCUGAUGGAUGGACCCGCGGUGCAUUAGCUAGUUGGUGAGGUAACGGCUCACCAAGGCCACGAUGCAUAGCCGACCUGAGAGGGUGAUCGGCCACAUUGGGACUGAGACACGGCCCAAACUCCUACGGGAGGCAGCAGUAGGGAAUCUUCGGCAAUGGACGAAAGUCUGACCGAGCAACGCCGCGUGAGUGAAGAAGGUUUUCGGAUCGUAAAACUCUGUUGUUAGAGAAGAACAAGGAUGAGAGUAACUGUUCAUCCCUUGACGGUAUCUAACCAGAAAGCCACGGCUAACUACGUGCCAGCAGCCGCGGUAAUACGUAGGUGGCAAGCGUUGUCCGGAUUUAUUGGGCGUAAAGCGAGCGCAGGCGGUUUCUUAAGUCUGAUGUGAAAGCCCCCGGCUCAACCGGGGAGGGUCAUUGGAAACUGGGAGACUUGAGUGCAGAAGAGGAGAGUGGAAUUCCAUGUGUAGCGGUGAAAUGCGUAGAUAUAUGGAGGAACACCAGUGGCGAAGGCGGCUCUCUGGUCUGUAACUGACGCUGAGGCUCGAAAGCGUGGGGAGCAAACAGGAUUAGAUACCCUGGUAGUCCACGCCGUAAACGAUGAGUGCUAAGUGUUGGAGGGUUUCCGCCCUUCAGUGCUGCAGCUAACGCAUUAAGCACUCCGCCUGGGGAGUACGACCGCAAGGUUGAAACUCAAAGGAAUUGACGGGGGCCCGCACAAGCGGUGGAGCAUGUGGUUUAAU